Long non-coding RNA from Suricata suricatta (meerkat), 812 nucleotides. RefSeq lists it as uncharacterized. The record is from RefSeq and is a predicted model, not a curated record. Lineage: Eukaryota; Metazoa; Chordata; Mammalia; Carnivora; Herpestidae. The transcript is spliced from 2 exons.
CUGCUUUCUGGCUCGCUUUCCCUCUGCUCCUGUCACCAGGAUGUCAGCACCCAAAUUAGUGCAAGGCCCCAGCCCAAGCAAGCAUCAGCUGGAUUGUCAGCCCAGGGAAUGACCCACCCUUGGGACCUGCUGUUACAGCCUUGCCUCAGCUGUCACCUUCCUGUGGCCUUCCACUUUCCCUGGGCAUGAAGAGCUGCCAAAAGCAGCAGUCAGCUUCUCCCUGAGGAAGAAGGAGCUAUGUGCAAGGUCAGGAGAGGCUUAGCUCGUGGGGGGACAUGGAUGCCUCGUAGAAGAUUCUGGAUUCAGGAUUUCAAUAUCAACUCCACAAAAUCCUACACAGCUUCGGACCGGCCCGUGUUAUUGUGGGCUGAGCCACCCUGCAGCUCUCACGGCCGAAGGUGAACAUCCCAGCCUUCCCUGGGCUCUUAUACAGAGGCUGCGUCCUGCCAAAGAAUUCUUUUCACCCAGAGACCCCAGCCACAUUGCUGGCAAGAGACUUUCCUGGGUCUGUGGGCUCUCCUAGAGCUCCAGCCGGCAUUAAUCAUCCUCUGUGCCUCAGUUUCCUCCAAGGAAGAGGAGAAUGACAGGCAGAGACUUGUUCAAGUCACUCUGCGGGUGCAGCCCAAGGAAGAUCCCCCUGAAUGGCAGCCAGACUCCAGAAUCCUCUGUCAUGCUCACUAAUGCAGGGCAUAAGUUGGCAUCAGGGCCGGCAUUAUGUGUUACACAGGGCUACCCACUCGGAAGGCCCUCAGGCUUGGUUUAAUGCCCUACUCUUGCUGUUUCAAAUUUCGUAAUAAGCCGUAAACCAUGAA